CCCUUAGAUGUCCUGGGCUGCACGCGCGCUACACUGAUGUGUCCAGUAAGCACCUAACCUCUUCCGAAAGGAACGGGUAACCUUUGCAAAGCACAUCGUGAUGGGGAUAGGUCACUGUAAUCGUUGACCUUUAACGAGGAAUUCCUAGUACGCGCAAGUCAUCAGCUUGCAUGGAUUACGUCCCUGCCCUUUGUACACACCGCCCGUCGCACCUACCGAUUGAGUGGUCCGGUGAAGACCUCGGACUGUGGCUGCGGUUGCUUGAUUGCGACUGUGUGCUGUGGGAAGUUGUCUAAAUCUUAUCACUUAGAGGAAGGUGAAGUCGUAACA
This 330-nucleotide ribosomal RNA is filed under the name uncultured eukaryote. RNAcentral's name for it is "partial 18S ribosomal RNA". It matches the Rfam family "Eukaryotic small subunit ribosomal RNA", at positions 1470 to 1796 of the family's 1831-position model. The record is from RNAcentral.